RNAcentral lists this ribosomal RNA (512 nucleotides) under Dematotrichus setosus. RNAcentral's name for it is "Eumolpinae gen. 1 sp. 7 JGZ-2022a partial 12S ribosomal RNA". Lineage: Eukaryota; Metazoa; Arthropoda; Insecta; Coleoptera; Chrysomelidae. The record is from RNAcentral.
UGCGGUUAAACAAAUAAUGCUACUGUUUUUUUUCGGUUAUAUUUAAUUAAUAAAAAAUUAAUUUAUAUUUUGGUGAAAUAUUGGGUGAAAUCCUAUUUUCUAUUUAGUUGAAUUAUUGAUUAUGAGGUUAAGAAAUCUAGCGGAUAAACUGGGAUUAGAUACCCCAUUAUUCUAGAUGUCGAUAUUUUAAGCCUGAUGAAUAUAAGUUAUGUUCUUUAAAAUCAAAAAAUUUGGCGGUUUUUUAUUCCAAUCAGGGGAAUCUGUCCUUUAAUCGAUAACCCACGAUUAAUAAAACUUUUAUUUUGCUUGUAUAUCGUCGUUGUUAAUUAUUUUUGGAAAUAUAUAAUUUGAAUAUAUGAUUGUAUAAAAAAUCAGAUCAAGGUGCAGCUUAUAUAAGUAGAGAUGGAUUACAUUAAAUUUAUUUUAGGAUUGAUUCCAGCAUUAGAAUCAAAAAUUUGGAUUUGAAUGUAAUUUUAAUUAUUAAUUAAGAUGAAUUGGGCUCUAAAAUGUGU